UAUAAUAAUAAUUUUCCGAUUAACUAAGUUGCGCCUCUGUUGGUGGUGCAUGUUAUCUACUGGCUAAGUUAGUGUAUACCACUAUCUUGAUUUUAAGCAACUAAAAAAACAGGUUUUCAAAAAAAUUGAGAAAUUUAAAAGAGCUUAUAUGAACUUUUUAAUAAACUUUGUUAGGACAUAACCGAAUAUUACUAUCGUUUCUGUACAUUGUAUACAACAAAACAGUACAAAUUUAUAUAAGGUUUAGAUUAAUCGGUUCAAUUUUUGAAGCGUUCCCCAGGGUCCAGUUUUAAAGGGUCCGUACGCAACAUUAUUGGGUGAUGCAUCUACUGGCACAUUUUUGUCCUAUUGUUCCUGAGUCAUUUCGCGUGAAAUUUUCACUCAUUUUUAUGCUCUCUCAUACUCGCUUCCUAGCGACCUUUUGCAACACGCUUUGUAUGAAAGGACAUUAACGUCAACAUUAGAGACUACGCGAAGGCAUGUCUCUCGUAUCAACAAUCCAAAGUCGGUCGCCAUACAUUUAGCAGCAAUCAAACCGCAUAUGUUUAUACACAAUAAAACGUUCAUAUCAAUCAGAAUUAUCAAACACACAAUUGUAUUUAAUUUAUAUUACAGUUGUUGCCUUGGAAUAACGUUUUUAUAUAUAUCCGCAACAAUUUGGUGUUUCGUGGCGGCGGAUUUACAAAGUGCGGAUCUAGAUUUAGUUUCUUUAUUUCAUAAAAUAUAAUGUUUAUAUUAACCAGAAUUGUUAAAUAAUUGUGCGUUGAUUUAUAUUUCAGUUGUUGCCUUAGAUCAACGUUUUAUAUAUAUCCGCAACAAUUUAUUGUUCCGUGGCUGCGGAUUUAAAUGCUGCUGCGGAUCUAGAUUUAGUUUCUUUAUUUCAUAAAAUAAAAUGUUCAUAUCAACCAGAAUUGUUAAAUAAAUAAUUGUUCAUUGAUUUAUAUAACAUCCAUUUUACCUCAGGGUACUAUACAAAAUAUACUAGGUGUUGUAUCCCAUGUUACCCCCAAAAAAUAUAUAACAGACAUCAUCUUCUAACCGAUUCCAUUCCUAUUCCAAAGAAAAACAUAUCACAGAUAUUAUGUUCUAACGGUAACCAUCUUAAUACGUGUUACCCGAAGGGAAUAUAUAAAAGAAAUUAUUAUGUGCUAACGGUAUCCUUCUUAACCCUAAGGUUCAUAUAACAAAUAUAUUGUGCUAACAGUUCUAACGGUAAACAUCUUAUCCCACCGUACUAUUAUAACAAACGUUGUGUGCAGUAAAAAUCGUAUUCAAAGUAUUACAUGUGCUAGUGGUAUCUUCCAUCUUCCCUCACAGCACUGUACAACGGAGAUUAUGAGCUAACGGUAACUUAUCGUACCUCACAGAACUGUGUAACAGAUAAUGUGUAACGAUCACCAUCUUACCCAAAGGUACUAUAUAAAAAAUAUUGUUUACUAACGGUAUACCAAUCUUACUCCACAGAACUAUAUUAUAUAUGCUAACAGUGUGUUCAUCUUACUCUACAGAACUAUAUAUGCCAACAGUGUGUUCAUCUUACUCUACAGAACUAUAUAUGCUAACAGUGUUCAUCUUACUCUACAGAACUAUAUAACGCUUAUAUUAUGCACCCCACAGUACUUUUUUAUAAUAGACAUGGUGUGCCAACGGUAUCCCAUCUUAUCCCACUGAACCAUUACGUGCGCACACCAAUUUCAUUUUUAUGCCUAAAAACAACAUAACAUAUAUUAUGUGCCAACAGUAACAGUGUUACCACACUGAAAAUAAUAAAUUUAUUAAGUGCGAUAUUCCAUGUUACCCGAGAGAAAUAUAUAACAGUUAUAUUGUGUACUUUAUUCAUAUUUUCCCCUAGUACUGUAUAGCAGAUAUUAUAUGGAAACGGCAUCCCAUCUUACCCCACAGAAUUAUAUAAUAGAUAUUACGAGCGGUAAUCAAUCUUACCCCGCAGUACUGAUAUAACAUAUAUUGUGUGCGGUAAAAACUUUACCCAACAGUAUUACAUAACAGAGAUCAUGUGGUAAAGGUAUUAUCCCCAUCUUACUUCACAGCACUAUUUGACAUGUUACGUGCUAACACAGUUACGCCAUAGUUACGCAAGACGACUAUUUAAUAUUCGGUCUUGAUGCAUUAAGUUAAUUUGGAAAACUAUAAUAUAUAUCUGUGCUCGAAACUCACUCAAUCGCUACACCUCCUUUGGUACAUUCGUUUCUCUUGUUAAUAAAAAAAAAACGCAGAUCUCUUCAAGAAACUUCGGAAUAAUAUUACUGGUUGUCCUAAGUAUCGUUUUUAACCGUCUUCACCUGAAGGAUGUCACACGAAUCAACGAACCAACCUACGGAGAUAAGGCCAAAAAGACGACUCGUGUGUUCGGUUAUGACUGCAAUGGAUUAUAUCUGUGGUGUGUCAGCAAGCAUCGUAUGCCUACAGGAUUCUUUACAUGUUACAUAGGGCCUGAUUUUAAACCAAUCCUACCUAAUCAGGUUGGAAAAGAAGCGUGUACGUGGUUAGACUGGGUGGCUGAAUCUGUACAAAUCGCCCACAAAAACAAUGGCGGUGAGCAACUUAUUGGAAGCAUGCGUAAUCACGUAGAUGGUUACUGCUCGUCUACAAACACCAUUUUUGAAUACCUGGGGUGUGUGUGGCAGAUACAAACAAGAACGAAGUUGGAAAUCUGGUGACAAAACAUCCAGGAAUGAAAAAGCCUGUUCUUCAGCUUAACAAAAAAACACAUAAGCGACUGAAGCGGUUAAAGGAAGAAGGCUAUACGGUUCAUAUAAAUGGGGUUGUGAGUGGCAACAAGAACGAAAGGAUCCCGAGAUUCGUAAAUUCAUUCGCAACACCCGACCUCCGUGGAAACACCCCGAAACCGAACAGUCUAUCAUCGACAGAAUCGCUUCGGGUGCACUUAACGCUUUCGCUUAAGUGGAUAUACAUCGAAGAGAAAUUCGGAGAUUUUCCACCCAUCUUCGAGAAACACAUGAUUUCGAGGGAUGAUAUUGGACAGCACAUAAGAUCAUGACUUCGCCGAGACGAUGUUUGAUUAUUAGUAGUUUCAAAGGGGAGAAGCAGAUCUUUCUGACACGUUAGUGAAAAUUCGCCGUAGACUGAAAACGAACUCUCGGUCGCCACCUGUCGAAUUUUUUGUUGCAAGUUAUUAUUUACUAAGUCUCACUCCACAGCUAUUAAGCGCAAAAAAAUGCUUCAAAGAGUUUGGGGAAUUUGUAUGCCAUGCAAUGCGUGAAGGUGAUAACGACCCUACGCAAGCCAUCCUAGCGGAUUGUGCGAAACUAAUCGGAAAUUCCGCCUACGGAAAAUCGUUAACAAACAAGCUGAAAUUCGAAGAUGUCGUCUUCAAACGAGAGCCACAUGUCGACGAUCUGGUAAAGCGAAAACCCUUUAUUCACUGCGAUGAAAUCAACAAAGAUCUCUUUGAAAUCCACAUGGGAAAAGUGACAAUUUGUCAAAACUACCCGUUGCAGAUUGCAGCGGCCACAUAUGAUUAUGCAAAAUUAGGCAUAUUAAUUUUUGUUCUUCUUUAUUGAUAAGUCGGAUAUUGCACUCGUGCAAUGCGACACCGAUUCUAUGUAUUUCGGUUUAUUCGCAAAUUCACUUGAUGACGUCAUUAAGCCUGAAUUGAGAAGGCAAUUCUUUACCGAAAACCCUACUUGGUUUCUCUUGCCUUGGCGUGUGAUGCUCACAGUGUCGAGUUUGUUGAAACCAGAACAGCCUUUAAGACCUGGGUCCCGUAUAAGUGUUGUAAACAACGCACUAUUUAUGACAAACGUAGGUUUGUUUAAACUUGAGUACAGUGGUGACGGUACCGCUGCCACUAAAUCCAAAACGUACUACUGUACCAGGGCCGUUGACAAAAUCAGUAGCAACGGCUUGUCCAAAAGACACAAUAAUCUUAAAUUUACUGAUUUUAUUUAUAACCGGUGAAAACAUCUCAUUCAGAGUUUUUAGUAUACACAUGCCGUGAAACAAAGAAGGGCCUGACUUACUUUUACCCUAAACGUAAAGUCCAAAGUGAAGGCGUGUGUGUGUUCUUGCGUGUUUUGUAAACAGAAAUAAAAGCUUUAUAUUUAGAUUCUUUUUAAAACUUAUGCAUUCUUCGCGAUGGAUGUAACCUUUAAACAUUCGUUUACUUUAUUGAUUACCCGUCCAACCGGACCAGGAAAAAGUGUAUUUGUGAAAAAAAUCAUACUGAAUUCAAAUAUUAUGAUGGAUCAACCAUCUGAAAGCAUUGUAUGGUGUGUGAGUUGAAUUUAAGGAAGGUUUACCGGAAGUUUCCUCAUUCAGUUUUCGCACCAUCUAAAUAUCAGUGUCGUUUACAUUGUCCAAAACCUAUUUUAUAAAAACCAACGAACAAUUAGUUUAAACGCGCAUUAUAUUGUGGCUUUUAAAAAUCCUCGAUGCGCAACUCAAAUUUCUACAUGUGUAAAUUGCUGAUUACGUAUAACCGGUUCGAUCGAAAGCUAGUAGGCCACAACCAGUGCCUACAUUUCCGUGCGGAUUGUACAGAUACCAUGUGCUAACCGAUUCCAUUCUUAUUCCAAGAAACAAUACAACCCGAUAUCAUAAGCUUACGAUAACCCUCUUAGCACCCUGUAAUAUUAUAUGCCAUAUAUUACGUGCUAACAGUAAAGUCCUACACCAAAGAAUCUAUAAAAAAGAUAUUAUGCUAACAGUAUUAUUCUUUCCCCACAGGUUCAUAUAACAAAUAUUAUGUACUAACAGUAGCCAUAUUACCUCACAGAACUAUAUUAUGCUAACAGUGUUCAUCUUACUCCACAGAACUAUAUAACAUAUAUAAUGUGCUAACAGUAUCUUACAAAACAGUACUAUAUAAAAUACAUGGGCGCCGAUCCUGGGUAUGCGGCGCAUACCUCAGAAUUGUUUAUGGGUAUGCGGCAUACCCAACAUUGACGCGGCGAUAACCUUAAAUACCGGGCGGUCUCGUAAAAAAUCCACACGAGUGUGACGUGUGAGGUCUUGUAGCCAUUUACGUGCAUAAAUAAAUUUAGUAACGCGUUUUAUAUUAUUUUUAUAGCAACUUCAUCCAUGUAUGCAGGCAAACUUAUACGAGUAUUUUUCCCGCCUAAAAACGGCGUCUGUGACGUAACGCACCAUUCAAUGUUGUAACAAUUAGUGUAUAUGAUUGCGUCACUAAAUAAGGUAACCUGUACCAAAAUGCCUAAUUAAAUCGUUAAUUUAAUUAACAACCUUUCUACGAUCAACCAGUUAUACAGAAAUUGUAUGCUUCGAAAAGGCCUCGCGUUUCAGGUAAACAGCUGUCAAUGAGUGCGUUUAUAAAAGGCAGUCGAAACAGUGACAACUCGGAAAGCACAACAACAAAGCAAACCGCUCAGCCGACGCAAUCUGAAAUUCCACCAUGUAGCACCAAAGGAAGAAAUGGCGCUUGCGGUAGGUCUUAUCAGCCGACUUGGCAAGAAAACUUUCCAUGGUUAUUGUAUGACGCUGCACGCGAUGUGGCAUUUUGUUCUGUAUGUAAACGGGCAGAUGAAAACAAACGCCUUCGUGCUUCGUCGGUACGAAUUCUGUCUGUCCAAACCUCAAAAUGCUCCUGGGUGACGAAUGGAUUUUAAAACUGGAGAAAGGGCCUUGCAUCAAUCAAGAAACAUGACGCAUCUGUUGUGCAUAAGGAAAGUAUAGCCGCCAAGACGGGUGAGUUUGAGAGAGAUCUGCAUGCACGCUUUUACACCAAAAAAAUACAAAAACUAUGAAACGAAAUCGGCAAGUCCUAGAAAGUAUAUUUAACUCCGUAAUAUUUCUCGGUCAACAGGGUCUUGCAAUAAGAGGGCACACCGACGAGUCGUCCAAUCUGUCUCAGGUGGUCAAACUUUUAGGCAAACACAACGACACAAUUUGUGAUUGGAACGCUAGAAAAACCAAAUUUUUAAGUCACGACAUCCAAAACGAAAUCUUACGCGACCUAUCUAAUGCAGUGUUAAGAAAAAUUACUUGCGACGUGCAGCAUACACGAUGGUAUUCAAUAAUGGCUGAUGAAACUGCCGAUAUUGCAACUUUGUGUCCGGUAUGUUGACGACUCGUACAAUAUACAAGAAGUUUGCUUAGGAUUUGUGGAAUGUCCUAAAACCGAUGCGGAAACUUUAUUCGUCACCAUUAAAUCAAUGUUAUAAUAGCUUGUGGUUUAGAUAUAAAUGCAUGUCGAGGCCAGGCAUACGACGGUGCGGCCAACAUGAGCGGCAAGUUUUCCGGUGUGCAGGCCAGAUUUCGCACCGCUUAUCCCAAAAUGUUGUAUGUCCACUGUGUGGGACAUCAGCUAAAUCUUGUUGUGCAAGAAGUUAUAAAACGCACAAGUCACGGCGCAAAGGCAAUUACAACAUUGGAAAGCAUUGUACAGUUUAUUAAAGGAUCACACCCAAGCGACUGCAGUUCUUUAACUCAUUUUGUGCUGGAUCUGAGCAGCCAACUGGUUCAAUCCGUCCGCUAUGUCCUACACCUACACGAUGGGUGAUGCGACUUCCUGCACUCGAAGUUUUUAUAUCUAAAUUUGAAGAUAUCCUCAAUUGGUUAGAGUGUUGUGCAACCAGCUCAGAGCUACCACUUCCAGUAAGAAACCUGGCAAGGUCCCAUUUGGGGGCAAUGGAAAAGUUUACUUUUUAUUUCAUGCUACAAAGUCAUGCAGCAUUUGUUAUCUUUUAUCAACCCGAUUCACGUUAAGGUGCAGAGUCGAACCGUCACUAUGUCAGAAUUUCGGGGAAUGAUAGACACAAUAAUAAAUACUCGAGGAUUCAGCCACAAUACUCCUAAAUAAAUGCAAAGCAAGCGCUUCUAAAAUCGGCCUGGAACAACCCGAAAUACCACGAUUUUCCGCCAUGCGUAGUUCGCGUACUUGGUUGAACAAUUUAUUGCCGGGAUCGAUGACAAUUUUGUUCGCCGCCACAUCGCCUCACCCAAUUCCAGCAACACUAGCAGAUGCUGAAAGAGUAGUGGCCUUUGACACUCGCCCAGGAGUUUGGUUCAAUCGAAGUCAAGAUGAGCGCGAGCAGGGACUGCACGGAGUAUCGUCGGUCAACAACCAACGGUAGACCUGCUG
Molecule: non-coding RNA, 7081 nt
Organism: Ciona intestinalis (vase tunicate)
Lineage: Eukaryota; Metazoa; Chordata; Ascidiacea; Phlebobranchia; Cionidae
Source: RefSeq, a predicted model, not a curated record